GACGAACGCUGGUGGCGUGCUUAACACAUGCAAGUCGAGCGGAGCGGCGAACGGGUGAGUAACGCGUGAGUAACUGCCCCCCUCCCUGGGGUAACAGUUGGAAACGGCUGCUAAUACCGGAUAGUGGGGGAUGACUCGCGUCCUAUCAGCUUGUUGGUGGGGUAUUGGCCUACCAAGGCGACGACGGGUAGCCGGCCUGAGAGGGCGACCGGCCACAUUGGGCUGAGAUACGGCCCAAACUCCUACGGGAGGCAGCAGUGGGGAAUAUUGCACAAUGGGGGAAACCCUGAUGCAGCAACGCGCGUGCGGGAUGACGGCCUUCGGGUUGUAAACCGCUUUCAGCCAUGACGCGUUACCAACAGAAUAAGCACCGGCUAACUUCGUGCCAGCAGCCGCGGUAAUUC
This 404-nucleotide ribosomal RNA is filed under the name uncultured bacterium. RNAcentral describes it as "partial 16S ribosomal RNA". It matches the Rfam family "Bacterial small subunit ribosomal RNA", at positions 28 to 526 of the family's 1533-position model. The record is from RNAcentral.